CCACUGCACUCCCAGCCUCAGUGACAGAGCAAGACGCCAGCUCAAAAAAAAAAAAAAGGAACUGGCGCGAUGGCUCACACCUGCAAUUCCAGCAUGUUGGGGGGCCGAGGUCAGGAGUUCAAGACCAGCCUGGCCAACAUGGUGAAACCCCAUUUCUACUAAAAAUACAAAAAUGAGCACGGUGUGGUGGCAUGUACCUGUAAUCCCAGCUAGUUGGGAGGCUGAGGUAGGAGAAUUGCUUCAACCCAGGAAGCGGAAGUUGCAGUGAGCAGAGAUCACACCACUGCACUCCAGCCUGGGCGACAAAGCGAGACUCUAUCUCAAAAACACACAAACAAAAGGCAACUUUUUCAGCAGAACCGAGACAGACACGGAGAAUGUUUCUAUAAAGACCAAAAGCAAAAGCCCCAAACAAAACCCACCAAUGGUUUCAGCUUUCUUUCACCGAGAGACCACCAGGCCAAACCAACAGAGAAGUCUUGGAGAUUAAGAGGCAACUCUACCUCCCUGGCAGCUAGCAGCAGAAAAAGAAGAAAACUGUUAGAAUACAAAUGGAUUACACAAAGACAACAACAUGGCCUGCUACAGCCUGGCAUUCGCCUUGACACUAAAAACAAGGCUAGAAACACGCAUUGCAGAUCUUCUGGGAUUCCACAUCUGAGCUGAACCAAGCAUGUCCAGGAGAAGGCAGGCCAUGAUGUCACUUUCCCCCCCCACAGCCAGAUGCUUCAAGAUGAAGGCUGUAAACCACAGCACUGUUGGUGAGAGACUCAGUUUCACUGUGACUGGAGGCAAG
RNAcentral lists this long non-coding RNA (796 nucleotides) under Homo sapiens (human). Its description in RNAcentral is "HSALNT0388058". The record is from RNAcentral. Lineage: Eukaryota; Metazoa; Chordata; Mammalia; Primates; Hominidae.